GUGGUAAUGCCGGAUGUUCCAGUUGAUCGCAUGGUCUUCUGGGAAAGCUUUCGCGGUAUGGGAUGGGGUCGCGUCCUAUCAGCUUGACGGCGGGGUAACGGCCCACCGUGGCUUCGACGGGUAGCCGGCCUGAGAGGGCGACCGGCCACAUUGGGACUGAGAUACGGCCCAGACUCCUACGGGAGGCAGCAGUGGGGAAUAUUGCACAAUGGGCGCAAGCCUGAUGCAGCGACGCCGCGUGAGGGAUGGAGGCCUUCGGGUUGUAAACCUCUUUUAUCGGGGAGCAAGCGUGAGUGAGUUUACCCGUUGAAUAAGCACCGGCUAACUACGUGCCAGCAGCCGCGGUAAUACGUAGGGUGCAAGCGUUAUCCGGAAUUAUUGGGCGUAAAGGGCUCGUAGGCGGUUCGUCGCGUCCGGUGUGAAAGUCCAUCGCUUAACGGUGGAUCCGCGCCGGGUACGGGCGGGCUUGAGUGCGGUAGGGGAGACUGGAAUUCCCGGUGUAACGGUGGAAUGUGUAGAUAUCGGAAAGAACACCA
RNAcentral lists this ribosomal RNA (536 nucleotides) under Bifidobacterium longum subsp. infantis. RNAcentral's name for it is "bacterial SSU rRNA". It matches the Rfam family "Bacterial small subunit ribosomal RNA", at positions 160 to 711 of the family's 1533-position model. The record is from RNAcentral. Lineage: Bacteria; Bacillati; Actinomycetota; Actinomycetes; Bifidobacteriales; Bifidobacteriaceae.